Molecule: ribosomal RNA, 1397 nt
Filed under: uncultured marine bacterium
Lineage: Bacteria
Description: bacterial SSU rRNA
Rfam family: Bacterial small subunit ribosomal RNA
Source: RNAcentral
AACGUACGCUGGCGGCACGCCUAACACAUGCAAGUCGAACGAAGUAGCAAUACUUAGUGGCAGACGGGUGAGUAACAUGUGGGUAUCUGCCCUUUGGCCUGGAAUAACACGAGGAAACUUGUGCUAAUACCGGAUAAGUCUUUACGGAGAAAGCUUUAUGCACCAUUGGAUGAGCCUGCACUUGAUUAGUUUGUUGGUGGGGUAAUGGCCUACCAAGACUGUGAUCAAUAGCUGAUUUGAGAGGAUGAUCAGCCACAUUGGGACUGAGACACGGCCCAAACUCCUACGGGAGGCAGCAGUGGGGAAUCUUGCACAAUGGAGGAAACUCUGAUGCAGCGAUGCCGCGUGAGUGAAGAAGGCCCUUGGGUUGUAAAGCUCUUUCGUCGGGGAAGAAAAUGACUGUACCCGAAUAAGAAGGUCCGGCUAACUUCGUGCCAGCAGCCGCGGUAAUACGAAGGGACCUAGCGUAGUUCGGAAUUACUGGGCUUAAAGAGUUCGUAGGUGGUUGAAAAAGUUAGUGGUGAAAUCCCAGAGCUUAACUCUGGAACUGCCAUUAAAACUUUUCAGCUAGAGUAUGAUAGAGGAAAGCAGAAUUUCUAGUGUAGAGGUGAAAUCCGUAGAUAUUAGAAAGAAUACCAAUUGCGAAGGCAGCUUUCUGGAUCAUUACUGACACUGAGGAACGAAAGCAUGGGUAGCGAAGAGGAUUAGAUACCCUCGUAGUCCAUGCCGUAAACGAUGUGUGUUAGACGUUGGAAAUUUAUUUUCAGUGUCGCAGCGAAAGCGAUAAACACACCGCCUGGGGAGUACGACCGCAAGGUUAAAACUCAAAUGAAUUGACGGGGACCCGCACAAGUAGUGGAGCAUGUGGUUUAAUUCGAAGAUACGCGCAGAACCUUACCAACACUUGACAUGUUCGUCGCGACUUUAAGAGAUUAAAGUUUUCGGUUCGGCCGGACGAAACACAGGUGCUGCAUGGCUGUCGUCAGCUCGUGUCGUGAGAUGUUGGGUUAAGUCCCGCAACGAGCGCAACCCUCACUUUUAGUUGCCAUCAUUAAGUUGGGCACUCUGAAAGAACCGCCAGUGAUAAGCUGGAGGAAGGUGGGGAUGACGUCAAGUCCUCAUGGCCCUUACGUGUUGGGCUACACACGUGCUACAAUGGUAUCUACAACAGGAAGCAAGACUGCGAGGUCAAGCAAAUCCUUAAAAGAUACCUCAGUUCGGAUUGCACUCUGCAACUCGAGUGCAUGAAGCUGGAAUUACUAGUAAUCGUGGAUCAGCGUGCCACGGUGAAUGCGUUCCCGGGUCUUGUACACACCGCCCGUCACACCAUGGGAGUUGGUUCUACCUUAAGGCAAGGUUUCAAACCCUUGACCACGGUAUAGUCAGCGACUGGGGUG